AUCCCUGAGCAACUUUGCACCGCAGUCUCAGUCAGAGUUGAGGGUUUGUUUUCCUGCACGUCGCCGGCUGGUUCAGCUGCUCACCUCGCACGGAGGGGAGGAGGGGCACACGGGUUUGAGGCGGGGGACAAUGGACACUUCACACCAAGGGCUAAAACCGAAUUAUCUUUGUGUGUCUGAGCUCUGUACAGUGUCUGCUUCUCAUUUUCUUUUCUUCCAUGUGUGUCGGGAGGCAUGCUGGUGUGGAUUCUUUCAUUUGCUUCCUGUGAAAACACAACCAUGCAAGGAAACUCUGUAAAGCAAAGCAAAAACAUAAAAGUCGUGAGGAGAGGCGACCAUAACGAUGUCAUAUUUUGUAAAAAAAACUUUUUUUUUUUUUUGUUUUCUGGCUGUGAGAUGGACCUUCUGGCCACGCUGGCCGAAUCGACCCCCUUUACGGGGCUUAGGGACUCGUGAGGCCUUGUUUGAGACAUGAUUGAUGACUGCGUGAAGCUUCCUGCCAGCCAUUUUUAGUCUUUUAAUACAUGUGCUCACGUGUUAAUGAUUUAUGUAAUAAAAACAACAACAACAAAAAAAGAGUCCCCUACACCCUGAGACUGAACACUCAUAUUAUCAUUUCCGUCUCUUACCUAAACAUGUAUUUAUUUUUUUAAAUCUCUGUGAAAUUUAAUGUAUAAUCCUGGAUUUUUCAAUAUUAAAACUUUCUAGUGGAAUUUAAAAAAAAAA
Long non-coding RNA from Salarias fasciatus (jewelled blenny), 726 nucleotides. RefSeq lists it as uncharacterized. The record is from RefSeq and is a predicted model, not a curated record. Lineage: Eukaryota; Metazoa; Chordata; Actinopteri; Blenniiformes; Blenniidae. The transcript is spliced from 2 exons.